RNAcentral lists this ribosomal RNA (438 nucleotides) under Triticum aestivum (bread wheat). Its description in RNAcentral is "partial small subunit ribosomal RNA". The record is from RNAcentral. Lineage: Eukaryota; Viridiplantae; Streptophyta; Magnoliopsida; Poales; Poaceae.
AUGCAAAUUCUUCAAGAGCGCAAUCAAGGCAGUCAAGGGAAUCAAGGCAGCAAUCAGAGUCACUUUGCUACGCUCAACCAGUUCCUUGCUAACGGGCCAAAGACUUUCAGCAAUUGUGUUGAGGCAACCGAUGCUGACGAUUGGCUUGUGGAUCUGUGCAAGCAUUUCGAGUGCAGUAACGUCAGGCCUGAGGACUUUGUCAAGUUCGCUUCCUUCCAACUCAAAGAUCAAGCUGCAGAAUGGUUCCAGCAGUACAAGGAUUCCAGAGGUGGACGUGUUAUCACUUGGGAGGAUUUCCGUCGAGAUUUCCAAGCUCAUCAUAUUCCGCAGAGCGUGGUUGAAAGUAAGCGUGAGGAAUUCCGCAAUCUGAAGCAAGGCUCUUUGUCUGUCUAUGACUACAACAAGUUGUUCCAGAAGCUCGCCCGCUUUGCCAAGUAG